Molecule: non-coding RNA, 455 nt
Organism: Rana temporaria (common frog)
Lineage: Eukaryota; Metazoa; Chordata; Amphibia; Anura; Ranidae
Source: the annotation of a RefSeq genome assembly
GAAGGUCUUCUCCAACAUGUUUUGGUCUACUCUCAUCCUCGCCGUCAACUAUUUCUGCACAUGUUGUUAUGGUCAGUAUGUUCUGAACCAACCUUCUGAAAUGACGGCAAAACCGGGAGAGACUAUUAAAGUAACAUGUUCAGGGGAGAGUCUUUCUAGAAAGUAUUAUGUUAGCUGGUAUCAGCAAAAAAGUGGCAGUGCCCCUCGUCUUCUUAUUUAUAAAGAUAAGGAAAAGGCAACAGGAACACCAGACCGUUUCUCUGGAGAUAGUUCUAAUGAUGUGGGCACUCUGACCAUCUCUGGAGUUCAUGCUGAAGAUGAGGCUGCAUAUUACUGUUUUACUGGAGAUAGCACUACAGGCUUGCGCACAGUUAUAAACACCAACAGACAAGUAGUACAAUAACAUGCUUGUAUCAUGAAUGCAAUCAUCCUGAGCAAAAGAGUGAAACGUAUCA